AAAAUACUACCUCCGUCCCAAAAUUCUUGUCUUAGAUUCGUCUAAAUAUGGAUGUAUCUAAUACUAAAACGUGACUUGAUAUAUUCGUGCCAAGACAAGAAUUUUAGGACGGAGGGAGUAUAUG
Molecule: non-coding RNA, 124 nt
Organism: Triticum aestivum (bread wheat)
Lineage: Eukaryota; Viridiplantae; Streptophyta; Magnoliopsida; Poales; Poaceae
Source: Rfam